AUUGCAAAACUUGUCAUCAAUACUCCAAAAAGCAAACAUGAGAUGCUAGAUAUCCUGGCAUUACCAUCAGCUCAUUUUCGUUAUGUUUCAUGUUUGUAAUGAUGCCUCAUGUAUUAUACUCAAGAUAUUGGAGAAGGUGGCGUUAAGUUCAGGUUAUUCUGCUUGUUUAUACAGAGCAAAAGCAUGCCUGCUAAUCUGCUUAUACUUGUUGGUGGCUUUGAGGCAAAACUUAGGGAACAGGUCAGACUUACA
This is an RNA transcript of Arabidopsis thaliana (thale cress), 252 nucleotides long. RefSeq lists it as uncharacterized. Lineage: Eukaryota; Viridiplantae; Streptophyta; Magnoliopsida; Brassicales; Brassicaceae. The record is from RefSeq. The transcript is spliced from 2 exons.